UAGGCUUGACAUGCAUGUGGUCCCUUCCCUUUCGGGUCGGUACCACAUGCAUGUCAAGCCUAGGUAAGGUUCUGCGCGUUGCAUCGAAUUAAACCACACGCUCCGCUGCUUGUGCGGGCCCCCGUCAAUUCCUUUGAGUUUUAGCCUUGCGGCCGUAGUCCCCAGGCGGCAGACUUAAUGCGUUAGCGUCGGCGCCGAGGGGGUCGAUACCCCCGACACCUAGUCUGCAUCGUUUACGGUGUGGACUAC
This 249-nucleotide unclassified non-coding RNA is filed under the name uncultured Chloroflexota bacterium. RNAcentral's name for it is "uncultured Chloroflexi bacterium contains 16S-23S intergenic spacer region". Lineage: Bacteria; Bacillati; Chloroflexota. The record is from RNAcentral.